RNAcentral lists this unclassified non-coding RNA (353 nucleotides) under soil metagenome. RNAcentral's name for it is "partial contains 5.8S ribosomal RNA, internal transcribed spacer 2, and large subunit ribosomal RNA". The stretch from base 1 to 119 matches the Rfam family "5.8S ribosomal RNA", at positions 35 to 154 of the family's 154-position model. The record is from RNAcentral.
GAUGAAGAACGCAGCGAAAUGCGAUAAGUAAUGCGAAUUGCAGAAUCCGUGAGUCACCGAAUCUUUGAACGCACAUUGCGCCCUUUGGUAUUCCGAAGGGCAUGCCUGUUCGAGCGUCAUUAUCACCACUCAAGCCCGGCUUGCUGUUGUGGCAGCGCAGCCGGUCAACCGGCUACGCUCCACCCAAAGAUAAUGACGGCGUCUGCGAGGACUCCUGUACAUUGAGCUUUCGGGCACGUACAUGGCUAGAAGUCCAGGCGCCGGUCGACGUCCUCCGGGACACUUUUUACCAAGGUUGACCUCGGAUCAGGUAGGGAUACCCGCUGAACUUAAGCAUAUCAAUAAGCGGAGGA